Molecule: non-coding RNA, 185 nt
Organism: Pelodiscus sinensis (Chinese soft-shelled turtle)
Lineage: Eukaryota; Metazoa; Chordata; Testudines; Trionychidae
Source: RefSeq, a predicted model, not a curated record
AUGUCUGUAUGUUACUGUGUAUUGGUAUGUUGCUGUGUAUGGUGAUCAUGGAAUGUUUUUGUGGAAAAUGCACAAGCCGAUUCCAGAAUAUGAUUGACAAAAUGCAGAAGGAAAGAGACCAAUCCCGCAAGGACUAUGACCAACUACAGGGGGAAAUGUGUAAGUUUCCCAAAUCUCUCCCUCCU